GUCAACAGUGAUUGAGCAAGGGGAGCCUUCAACCUGGAGCUUUCAACGAGGGGCCUCUUCGUCAAGCACCUUCCCCGCAGGGCCACCAUUUCGGCAAUGUGACUUGUCUUCGCCAGUAUCCUAAGAAAUACAAGUCCUCUUGUGAACCCAGUCUUCGCCAAGUGCAGCAAGGGCCUCGAAACAACGUUUCAACGAGAUGACUUGGCUACAUCAGGGCACUAAGAGGGAGAGAGAGAGAGAGAUAGUAUUUAAUGGCAGAAAUGCGGAGAGGUUGGCCUGAGUGAAGUACCUCUAGCCUGCUACUCCACGCUGGGGUAGGGGUUUGGGGAAAUCACAGCGAUAGGAUGUGAAGAGGAAAAAGGGUGGUGUACGGGUGCCGAAUCGAGGCUACGAAAGGAUCGACGCACCCUUGGUGCCAUGACGCCGUCACCGACUCGGAGAUGCCUCGACCGGAAGCUCUUUACCGGGCGUGGAGCGUCGAAGGGCCUGCUCGCCUUCAUCCUAGUCGCGAUCACGUUGUCGACACUGCUUCCUAAGGGGAGCGCUACGCAGCUUUGCGAGCCGAACGCAUGUGUGACGCGGUGCCUAGGAAUAGGGUUCGACAAUGGCAUGUGCAGCACCCACAAGGAUUAUGUGUACAAGGGCCAAGCACUGUGCCGCUGCUCGUACAAGCUCGGAUCUGCGCCCAAGGGGCUUCGACGCGAAAUGUCUGAGAAAGCGGCGGACAGGGGCACCUAAACUGGACACGGAAAUAGCUCGCAAGUAGCUACAACUGCGAGCCUAUCAGGUCAAAUAAAAAAGUUUUUGCAGUGAC
Long non-coding RNA from Dermacentor albipictus, 814 nucleotides. RefSeq lists it as uncharacterized. The record is from RefSeq and is a predicted model, not a curated record. NCBI's taxonomy places the organism in Eukaryota, Metazoa, Arthropoda, Arachnida, Ixodida, Ixodidae.